UGGGGAAUUUUGGACAAUGGGCGAAAGCCUGAUCCAGCAAUGCCGCGUGUGUGAAGAAGGCCUUCGGGUUGUAAAGCACUUUUGUCCGGAAAGAAAUCCUUGGCUCUAAUACAGUCGGGGGAUGACGGUACCGGAAGAAUAAGCACCGGCUAACUACGUGCCAGCAGCAGCGGUAAUACGUAGGGUGCAAGCGUUAAUCGGAAUUACUGGGCGUAAAGCGUGCGCAGGCGGUUUGCUAAGACCGAUGUGAAAUCCCCGGGCUCAACCUGGGAACUGCAUUGGUGACUGGCAGGCUAGAGUAUGGCAGAGGGGGGUAGAAUUCCACGUGUAGCAGUGAAAUGCGUAGAGAUGUGGAGGAAUACCGAUGGCGAAGGCAGCCCCCUGGGCCAAUACUGACGCUCAUGCACGAAAGCGUGGGGAGCAAACAGGAUUAGAUACCCUGGUAGUCCACGCCCUAAACGAUGUCAACUAGUUGUUGGGGAUUCAUUUCCUAGUAACGUAGCUAACGCGUGAAGUUGACCGCCUGGGGAGUACGGUCGCAAGAUUAAAACUCAAAGGAAUUGACGGGG
This 569-nucleotide ribosomal RNA is filed under the name uncultured bacterium. RNAcentral describes it as "partial 16S ribosomal RNA". It matches the Rfam family "Bacterial small subunit ribosomal RNA", at positions 355 to 918 of the family's 1533-position model. The record is from RNAcentral.